UACGUAGGGAGGCAAGCGUUGUCCGGAAUCAUUGGGCGUAAAGGCGCGCGUAGGCGGCCCCAUAAGUCCGCUGUGAAAGUCAAGGCUCAACCUUGAAAGCCGGUCGGAUGAACUGUGGGGCUAGAGUACGGAAGAGGCGAGUGGAAUUCCUGGUGUAGCGGUGGAAUGCGCAGAUAUCAGGAGGAACACCAAUAGCGAAGGCAGCUCGCUGGGACGUUACUGACGCUGAGGCGCGAAAGCGUGGGGAGCGAACAGG
RNAcentral lists this ribosomal RNA (256 nucleotides) under uncultured bacterium. RNAcentral describes it as "partial 16S ribosomal RNA". It matches the Rfam family "Bacterial small subunit ribosomal RNA", at positions 524 to 776 of the family's 1533-position model. The record is from RNAcentral.